UAGAUGGAGGCCAGUUUGUCCGAUAUAAACUUGGUUGCAAUCAUUGCAAGAUAUUUUAUACACAACAUUGGAUCAUUUGCCCUUGGGGAUCCUAUCUUUUCCUGUGUCAAAGACUAUUUGUAAAUCUUUUGAAUUUUUUCCCAAAAACUUGACAUUAUGUUUGGUAAAUAGAUGGUUCAAUAACUCAAAGAGACCAGAUACAUAUGGGAUGGGAAGAAAUGUAUUAGUAAGUCUAUUGUUGUCGCCUGCGGGAGCAGAGUCAAUAUUGUUGUCAAGGACUGCAGUUAGAAUAUCGUCAACAUAUCGGAAAUAGAAAGGUAAAUCAAAAUCUAGAUUGCUAAUGCAUGACCUUUCUAAGUCUUCCAUGACCAGAUCUGACAGGAUUGGAGAGAGAGGGGAUCCCAUGGGCAACCCGAAUUGUUGUGCAUACGUGUCAUUGUUAAAUUUGAAGAUUGCCGAAUCAAAACAAAUUUUUAAAGCUUUAUCUAGUUCACUAAGUGGAAUCGGGAUCUUUUUUUCUAGAGAAACCCAACGGUUGUUUACUGCGUGCAUAGCAAGGUCUGUUGGAACGUUGGUGAAAAGAGAUAUUACAUCUAGCGAUAUUAAAGUGUAGUUGUCUGGGAUAAUCAAUGUUUUUAUUUUUUCAACUAAAGUAAUGCUGUCCUUAACUCUGGAGGUGGGAGGUGUGAUAUUUGUGGUGAGCCAUGAAUUAAUUAACUUGGAUAAGGCAUGACGUUCAUGACGUCUAACCUUUUGCCUUAACACUCUAGCUGCUCAAUUGUGUUUCUGCAAGUACUUGAUAAUAACUCUGUAAUCACUAGGGUGUUUAAAAUAUUCCGAUUUGAAAUCACCAAGCACUUUCUAGUGUACUGGAUUUUAUCAUUGAAAGUACUUUCAUUUCCUGAAUUUUUUUUUGUGUUAGAAACAAUAAAAGAAAUAAAUAUCAGUCAACCAGCCCAUUCAAUGUUUGUACAAACCCAUUCAAUCGCUGGUUGAUAUUGCUUACUCCUUUUAAUGGUUCACUUGGCAUUGUCUCCUGGCAGAAAUCAUAAUGAGGUGUUAUGUCUCGAGCAAUACU
This 1078-nucleotide long non-coding RNA is filed under the name Neodiprion pinetum (white pine sawfly). Its description in RNAcentral is "uncharacterized LOC124223296". The record is from RNAcentral. Lineage: Eukaryota; Metazoa; Arthropoda; Insecta; Hymenoptera; Diprionidae.